RNAcentral lists this ribosomal RNA (468 nucleotides) under uncultured bacterium. RNAcentral describes it as "partial 16S ribosomal RNA". The stretch from base 20 to 332 matches the Rfam family "Bacterial small subunit ribosomal RNA", at positions 47 to 358 of the family's 1533-position model. The record is from RNAcentral.
GACGAACGCUGGCGGCGUGCUUAACACAUGCAAGUCGAACGGAAAGGCCCUGCUUUUGUGGGGUGCUCGAGUGGCGAACGGGUGAGUAACACGUGAGUAACCUGCCCUUGACUUUGGGAUAACUUCAGGAAACUGGGGCUAAUACCGGAUAGGAGCUCCUGCUGCAUGGUGGGGGUUGGAAAGUUUCGGCGGUUGGGGAUGGACUCGCGGCUUAUCAGCUUGUUGGUGGGGUAGUGGCUUACCAAGGCUUUGACGGGUAGCCGGCCUGAGAGGGUGACCGGCCAAAAUGGGAAAGAGGGACCGGCCCGACCCACAAGGGGGGGAGAAGGGGGGAAUAGUGCGAAAAGGGGGGAAGGCGGAAGGAGAGAACCCGGGGGGGGGAGUACGGCCUUUGGGGUUGAAAACCGUUUUCGCAGGGAAGAAGGGGGAGGGAAGGGUAAUGGGUAAGAAAGCACCGGCAAACUAGGG